Molecule: ribosomal RNA, 429 nt
Filed under: Pseudomonadota bacterium
Lineage: Bacteria; Pseudomonadati; Pseudomonadota
Description: Proteobacteria bacterium partial 16S ribosomal RNA
Rfam family: Bacterial small subunit ribosomal RNA
Source: RNAcentral
UGGGGAAUAUUGGACAAUGGGCGAAAGCCUGAUCCAGCCAUGCCGCGUGUGUGAAGAAGGUCUUCGGAUUGUAAAGCACUUUAAGUUGGGAGGAAGGGCAGUAAGCGAAUACCUUGCUGUUUUGACGUUACCGACAGAAUAAGCACCGGCUAACUCUGUGCCAGCAGCCGCGGUAAUACAGAGGGUGCAAGCGUUAAUCGGAAUUACUGGGCGUAAAGCGCGCGUAGGUGGUUCGUUAAGUUGAAUGUGAAAGCCCCGGGCUCAACCUGGGAACUGCAGCCAAAACUGGCGAGCUAGAGUAGGGCAGAGGGUGGUGGAAUUUCCUGUGUAGCGGUGAAAUGCGUAGAUAUAGGGAGGAACACCAGUGGCGAAGGCGACCACCUGGGCUCAUACUGACACUGAGGUGCGAAAGCGUGGGGAGCAAACAGG